This 408-nucleotide long non-coding RNA is filed under the name Nicotiana benthamiana. Its description in RNAcentral is "long non-coding RNA (NBEN_LNC007372)". Lineage: Eukaryota; Viridiplantae; Streptophyta; Magnoliopsida; Solanales; Solanaceae. The record is from RNAcentral.
GAAAAUCUAUAUAAGAAGAAGCUCAUUCAGGAAACAAUUCCCUUAAACAACAACAACAAUAUUUGCUUCCGUCGCAAUUUCAAGCCGCUCUCCCUACUUUUGAAGACUCUCAGUGGUUGAUUCAAUUCCAUCCAUCUAAGCUCUCGGCGUUUUCUGUCGACAAAUUUGCAUUGGUUAUUGUUCGUGCUGGGUACGGAUUGAAACCCUAGUGCCGGCUGAAGCCUGUUGAAGAAUCGUGAGUUCGUCAAGAGAAUUAGCUGAUACGAUUCUAUUUGGUGUUAUUUUGGUACAAAUCUGUAUCGACUCUGUUUGUAUUUCAAUAUUUUGAACACAGGGCUCUUUCUUGUUAUUGUAUUCUUGACAACAGGGCUCUUUGUUAUUAUUGUUCUUGAUUUCUUUUUUCUAGGA